This 426-nucleotide long non-coding RNA is filed under the name Olea europaea subsp. europaea. Lineage: Eukaryota; Viridiplantae; Streptophyta; Magnoliopsida; Lamiales; Oleaceae. The record is from RNAcentral.
GACGAAAGUGUGAAUGAGGUAGAUAUAGAAAAUGUGGAGAUGGAUCGUAGCCCAGUUCUUGGUCGUAAGCGUACCGCCAAAGAAGGGACCAACAAAGUCAAGCGUCGACGUACACAACCUAUGGAUGAGAGUACUAUCGCCCUAUCGAAGAUUGCCGAAUCAUCUACAAAAAUUGCUCAAGCUAUGGAAAUGCAAACUGCGCUAUAUACACUGAAUCAUGUCAACUGGCAGUUGAUUCUAGAGAAACUAGAAGCCAUGAACCUAGAUAUGGACGACGUCAUGCAAGUCAUGAAAGCUUUUCGAUCCGACGAUGGUUUGGCUAAGGUAUUUAUGAAUGUGACUAAUACUGCAUACAUGCGUGCUUUGGUGUUUGACAAGCUUGGUCGUGAUCCGCCUCCACUACCGUAGACUGUACUUGACUUAUGG